Molecule: ribosomal RNA, 253 nt
Filed under: uncultured bacterium
Lineage: Bacteria
Description: partial 16S ribosomal RNA
Rfam family: Bacterial small subunit ribosomal RNA
Source: RNAcentral
UACAGAGGGUGCGAGCGUUAAUCGGAAUUACUGGGCGUAAAGCGUGCGUAGACGGUUAUUUAAGUCGGAUGUGAAAGCCCCGGGCUCAACCUGGGAAUUGCAUUCGAGACUGAAUAGCUAGGGUACGGUAGAGGGAAGCGGAAUUUCCGGUGUAGCGGUGAAAUGCGUAGAUAUCGGAAGGAACAUCAGUGGCGAAAGCGGCUUCCUGGACCAGUACCGACGUUCCGGCACGAAAGCGUGGGGAGCAAACAGG